Molecule: ribosomal RNA, 485 nt
Filed under: uncultured bacterium
Lineage: Bacteria
Description: bacterial SSU rRNA
Rfam family: Bacterial small subunit ribosomal RNA
Source: RNAcentral
GAUGAACGCUAGCUACAGGCUUAACACAUGCAAGUCGAGGGGCAGCAUGGUCUUAGCUUGCUAAGGCCGAUGGCGACCGGCGCACGGGUGAGUAACACGUAUCCAACCUGCCGUCUACUCUUGGACAGCCUUCUGAAAGGAAGAUUAAUACAAGAUGGCAUCAUGAGUCCGCAUGUUCACAUGAUUAAAGGUAUUCCGGUAGACGAUGGGGAUGCGUUCCAUUAGAUAGUAGGCGGGGUAACGGCCCACCUAGUCUUCGAUGGAUAGGGGUUCUGAGAGGAAGGUCCCCCACAUUGGAACUGAGACACGGUCCAAACUCCUACGGGAGGCAGCAGUGAGGAAUAUUGGUCAAUGGACGAGAGUCUGAACCAGCCAAGUAGCGUGCAGGAUGACGGCCCUAUGGGUUGUAAACUGCUUUUAUAAGGGAAUAAAGUGAGUCUCGUGAGACUUUUUGCAUGUACCUUAUGAAUAAGGACCGGCUAAUU